This is a long non-coding RNA of Engraulis encrasicolus (European anchovy), 2993 nucleotides long. RefSeq lists it as uncharacterized. The transcript has 2 exons. The record is from RefSeq and is a predicted model, not a curated record. NCBI's taxonomy places the organism in Eukaryota, Metazoa, Chordata, Actinopteri, Clupeiformes, Engraulidae.
AUUUGUUAUUCAUUUUUCCAGCAUUCAUAGGUUCCAAAACUACGACCCUUCAGAGUAUUUGAGGGAGAACUGCCCAAUGAUGACCUGUCCUGGGGUGCGUUUCUCAAAAGCGUAGUUGUUAGCCAGUUACCAACUUGUGUAGUUGUCAAUGAGAAAUUGCAUUUCAAACUACAAAGUAGCUAAUAUAGUUAGCAACUAUGGUUUCGAUAAAUACACCCCAUGCCCUGGUCUGUCCCAGUCAGCGCACACUGCCAGGCUAUCCAAGUAAAUAAACAUUUAAGUGACUGUCUGAACCUGGGAGCGCAGCAAAGCACACAAGUAACUCAGCAGUAAACAACAAGAGUGGGAAAACAAGAAAGGGGAGGGAAGCGAAGAACAGAGACAAACAUCCCAAAGCAAGACGAGGGUAGAGCGGGUGUGGAGGGAAUGAAGAGAGGAGGAGUGAGGGAGGAAGAGAGGGAGUUGAGCAGAGGCAAACUUUAACAAGCAGCAAAUAAGCGAGAGGAGGGAUGGGGUAACGAUCAACGAAAAACAAGGGAUGACGAAAGAGAGAGAGAGAGAAUCACAGUGCAAGAGAAGUGAAAGAAAGGACACAGUCCAAAAAAGGGGGGACAAGAUGAAAGAAGAGAGCUAGAAUAAAAGCAGUAGAGCUGAAUGCAACAGAGAGAGAGAGAGAGAGAGAGAGAGAGAGAGAGAGAGAGAGAGAGAGAGAGAGAGAGAGAGAGAGAGAGAGAGAGAGAGAGAGAGAGAGAGAGAGAAUGAAGCAAUAGGGACAGGCAGAUUAAGAAAUCAGCAGGCAAGUAAGAACUUCUGAGGUGAUCAGGGGUGAAUUUCUCAAAAGAGAAGUUGUUAGCCUGUUAGCAACUUCGGUAGUUGCCAAUGGGAAAAUGCAUUGAAAACAGCAAAGUAGUUAAUGUAGUUAGCAACUUUGGUUUUGAGAAAUUCACCCCAGCACUGCAUUAUUAAGUAUGAAGAGGAAGUAAGAGGUUCCACUGUUUGUAUAGGCUAAACCAUGUUAACCUGCAUGGAGGGAAAGAUCAUUAUAAUGAUCAUAACUAUGCAGUGGUGGGUAACUUGGAUUCGUUAGAUUGCAAUCCAUUGUCAGAUAAACCAAAUGGCCCUGGGGCCUCAUGUACAAAACUUACUUGCGCACAAAAAAGCUCCUUAAGUAACUUUCCACGAACAUUUUCAGAUGAAUACUGACUUAGCAUGAAAAAGUGCAUGCGUACUAAAUUUCAUGUGGAAAUCAGACAUACCACAUGAAUCAGCAGGACAUUUCUGUUUAUGCAUGGAUUGAUACAUUUGAGAUUUUCAAGUGCAAAUGCAUUUCUUAGAUUUUCACUUGCGCAAAGAUUCAGUAGGAAAUCUACGGAGGUCUUUGUACAUGAGGUCGCAGGUUUUACCCGUCUAAUUCAAGCUGGUGAUCGAUCGUUAAACCGGGAAUAUGUGGUAGCCUACUAGACUGCAACUAACGACUCCUCCAGGUAGCCCGGCCGUCACUGCUGAGGAAAUGGUGAUGAUGGGUGACUGAGGUGCAGGUGAGGUGAUGGGGUGCAGGUGAGAGAUUGUUGGUAUGAGAAGUUCGGGUCACCACAGUAAGACUGACACAUUCAAGUAUUGCAGGUUUAAUUUAAGGCAACACAGAGCAACAAUAAAUGUGGUUAUGAAGACCAGCCGAGCAGCUAAGCCAGCUAAGCAGCUGUGAAACUGAGAAUAUGAUAUUACCAUUUAGUAAGAGAAAUUAUCUUUUUAUUUUAUUUUAAUCAUAAAUAAAUCUAUUUCAAGUAAAUGCAGUGGCUUUGUCAGAAGGCAAGCCUUGAUAUGUUUCCUCAAUGAAAAAAAAGAUAGUUCAGGCGCUACGUUAAACUUGGCUUCUCUGAAGUCUACCGAUAAAUCAUUUUUUAAAGCUGACUGAGCAGCCUAAGACUGCCGUGAAAUGACAAAAACUAUAGCACAAUAGAGCCAAUGUGUGUAUUCCAAUAUGCACACUCCCGUCCUCCACUUGUGCUUGUGGCCUCGCCCCGCCUCCUGGCCCCUCCUCCGUGGAGAAAACAAUAAAGUUUCCCAGCUGUCAGCCUAGCCACAACAACUUUUGGGAGACUGUUUUUCAUUCAUCAUCCCAAUUGCAAAUGAGAAAAUGACAUUAGAAUUCUGAUUUUGCAAGAUGUUGAAUUAAUUUUCUGUCGUCAGUGACAUCAUUAUGAAGUGAGCAAGGGAGGACGGAAGUCUGCAUAUUGAAAUGCACCCAGUGUAUAUAUUACCACCUAGAGAAUACUGCUAUACAAAAUCAGAUUAAUGACUAGAUUGAUUGUGUCAAAAACACCAAUUUGUUUAGCUAAAUUAAAAUGUCAAAGCAUCCAAUGUAGACAUUUAAGCUCUUGAACAAAAAUAAACUUAGCAAUUCUCUAAUAUCAAUUAAUCAACGACACAUCCUCCCUCACAGUGUAAUCCAAGGACAUACGGAUCAUAAAAUAAAUAUUGAUGCUUUGACAAAGCCACAAGAGGAUUUUACAAGCCUCACGCCGCUUGAGAGAAGAGUUUCCAGCCGAGCUUGACAUAGUGAGUGACAGGGUUCCCCUCCAGCGUGUGAUGAGAUGAGAUGAAAGCUCGGAAACAAGCCCAGUCCUGAUGCGACGGACUCCAUGGGGAUUUGGCACACACAAAGUCCAGAGGGAGGGAGGGAGAAAUGGGGGCAUUGGGAGGAAACGAGUGGAGCUGUAUUCCAACUAUGAGGGCAACAUGUUGUGACAUACUAAUUAGUUUUAAGUACUACAUGGUUUAGUGACAAAUCCGGGUAAGCUAACAGACUUAGUAGUGGUGUUGAGCACACCUAGUGAAAGUGUACGGUGUUGAUGAAGGGAUCCUUCUAUUACGAGGUUUACUCUUCACUCUAAAAGAGUUGUGAUGUAAAUGCAGCGAUGUCAUUCAACCUAGACAUAGUCGUAAAUCUGAUAAGCGAGGACCCUGCAGGCAUUUCAUUUUUUUUUUAAAUU